This 85-nucleotide transfer RNA is filed under the name Felis catus (domestic cat). It matches the Rfam family "tRNA". Rfam says of the family: Transfer RNA (tRNA) molecules are approximately 80 nucleotides in length. Their secondary structure includes four short double-helical elements and three loops (D, anti-codon, and T loops). Lineage: Eukaryota; Metazoa; Chordata; Mammalia; Carnivora; Felidae. The record is from Rfam by way of RNAcentral.
GCCUCAGUGGCUCAGUUGGUUGAGCAUCGGACUUCAGCUCAGGUCAUGAUCUCACGGUUUGUGGGUUCAAGCCCCACGUAGGGCU